ACGUAGGAGGCGAGCGUUAUCCGGAUUUACUGGGUGUAAAGGGCGUGUAGGCGGGUUUGCAAGUCGGAUGUGAAAUUCCCGGGCUUAACUCGGGCGGGUCAUCCGAAACUGCGGAUCUUGAGUACUGGAGAGGAUAGUGGAAUUCCUAGUGUAGCGGUGAAAUGCGUAGAUAUUGGGAGGAACGCCAGAGGCAAAGGCGGCGAACUGGGCUUAAACUGACCAUGAGGCGCGAUAGCGUGGGGAGAAAGCAG
This 251-nucleotide ribosomal RNA is filed under the name uncultured prokaryote. RNAcentral's name for it is "partial 16S rRNA". It matches the Rfam family "Bacterial small subunit ribosomal RNA", at positions 525 to 775 of the family's 1533-position model. The record is from RNAcentral.